Non-coding RNA from Vicia faba (fava bean), 300 nucleotides. Lineage: Eukaryota; Viridiplantae; Streptophyta; Magnoliopsida; Fabales; Fabaceae. The record is from the annotation of a GenBank genome assembly.
AUGCUUUCGCGGCCCGAUACGGAACGACUUCCGACUUUUGUGAAGAAUCUUGGAUUAGAGUAUGAUGAGAAGGUGCUUCCAUUGAUUGGGAAUGAUGUGUUGAAAGCGUUUGCUGCACACUUUAAUGCAGAUCAACUGCUUAUGGAUCGGUCGCAGGUUUCAGCGCUGGUUAGGGAUAGUCUUGUGAGAAGGGCGAAGUAUUUUACUAUUCUUCUUGAUGAUAUUGCUAUUACUCAUUUGUCUUAUGGUAAUGUUACUGAUGUGAGAGAGUGUGAAUUUUUUUUCAUGAUAAAGACAUAG